GACGAACGCUGGCGGCGUGCUUAACACAUGCAAGUCGAACGGAAAGGCACUGCGUGUGUGGGGUGCUCGAGGGGCGAACGGGUGCGUAACACGUGAGUAACCUGCCCUUGACUUUGGGAUAACUUAAGGAAACUGGGGCUAAUACCGGAUAGGAGACCCUGCUGCGGGGAGAGGGUGGGAAAGUUUCUGCGGUUGGGGAUGGACUCGCGGCUGAUGGGCUAGUUGGUGGGGUAGGGGAUGACCAAGGAUUUGGCGGGUAGGCCGCCUGGGAGGGUGACCGGGCACCUUGCGCCUGCGGUAGGGCCCAGUCUCCUACGGUAGGCAGCAGGCGGGAACAUUGCCCAAUGGGCCGAAGCCUGUUGCAGCAGCGCCGCGUUCGUGAUGCCGGCCUGUGGGUUGUAAACCGCUUUCGCCUGUGGCGAAGCGUUAGUGACGGUAAUGGGUAAAGAAGCACCGGCUAACUACGUG
Molecule: ribosomal RNA, 468 nt
Filed under: uncultured bacterium
Lineage: Bacteria
Description: partial 16S ribosomal RNA
Rfam family: Bacterial small subunit ribosomal RNA
Source: RNAcentral